UUAAAUCACCUCUUGAAUAUUUCAUUAACAACAAAGAGUGCGACAAACGUCUUCGUAAUUUGACAACUAAUGAAAAUACUUUAAAACAAGGCAUUGAAAAUAACUUUUGAAAACUGCAAUAUUUCUUUGCGGUUGCAAACAAUGAGCUUAAAAGCAGUAAUAUACAUUUGCCGUAAAAUAAUAAUAUUUGGAUUACAUAAAAUAAAUGGCUGUUCCAUACAAAAUUAUCAAAUACUUUUGGAAUGAUAAGAUAAUGCGAUACGAUACUGCUCAUCUGCAUGUAUGUCGCCAUCUUGAAGAAAGGAUUGAAGAUAUAUUUUUUAAAAAAAUAUUCGCUCCCACAAAAUGCAUUAUUUAGAAUUAAAAUCGGAAAAGCAUAAAAAUUAAUAUAGAAAUUAAUUCAACUCCGCCAAAUUUAAAAAAUAUUUCAACUUUAGCAGCACAACAAUAACAAAACGAUCGCAACGUGCACUUAUGAAUAACGACGUAAAGAGGAAUGGUGUAACUAAACCAGUUAGAGCGCAAAGGAUAUAGAAGCUAGCAGUCAAAGAGUUCAUGGUUUCGCUGUCACUAUAAAUCCUUUCUUCAAAUUCACAUCCAGUUAGCGCUAAGAACUCUAACAAAUACAAUAACACGAACAAUGACAAGAGCACCACCGCCAGCAGUAUAAAGUGUAGAAGAGCUCUAUGUUCUUCGAAUUUCACAUAUGUCUGGAUAAGUGAAGCCACAAGGCGCAAAAGAACGGUAUAUGACGGAGGUGUGCUUGGGUGGCGUGUGGCACUGUGAAGCGCUUUUUUUCUAUAACGUCAUAUUUUUUGCAAGGUCUGUAUGGAAUAUCUGUAUGUUGGUACAUAAGUGGCAUGCGAUCUGUUACAGCGCAGAACAACAAUAAUACGAGCUUAAGAAUAUACGAAAAUAAGAGCAGCAGCAAUGGCUUCGUGUGGGCGAACGUGAGGUCGACAGCGCUGGGCAGCUCUGAAAUGGGAAGGAGGCGAUGCUGUACCGUUAACGUCAGCGCGGCACCAUUGUGGUUGCAAGUAUUGCGUAAAUUUUAAUGGAAGUGAUAUUUUUGAUUUGCAUUUCAUGCAACCGACGCGGCAACGCUUUGCUACACGAAGCUGCAAGAGGCAGCGUGUGGAGCACUGCAGUGGUGUAGCAUGAAAUGUGGAAGUGCAGGAACAACUGUAACACAAACAAUCGAAAGCGAAAUAUAAAUGUCUGAAAAAAAAACAACGAGAGCGAAAACGGCAACAAACGACGGCACGAAGAAAGGGAAUUGUGAAUUCAACGAAGUGAAAUGGCAAUGCAAUGGCAACUGUUGAAUGCUGAAUGUUGCAAGUUGCGGCUAUAGACGGUUGUGUAUAUUCCACUGGCUUACGGUAAUUGUAUUUAUAUAUUUGUAUGUGUAUGCGGUUUGGUGCAAAUCUGUUUGCCUGUGUAUGUGAAAGCAGGUGAGUGGCUUGGCCACUUUCCGCUGUGGCUUUGCUGUUGUUGUUAUUGUAAUAUAAUGGCUUUUAUAACGUUAUAACUUUAGUUAUAUACAUAACUUUUGUUGUUGUUGAAUUUGUGUAAAUUGGUUAAGUGGAAAUGCCGUCAAACGCUCUAUGAAAAC
Molecule: long non-coding RNA, 1612 nt
Organism: Bactrocera oleae (olive fruit fly)
Lineage: Eukaryota; Metazoa; Arthropoda; Insecta; Diptera; Tephritidae
Source: RefSeq, a predicted model, not a curated record